GUGCAGCAGGCGAGAAAUCUUCACAAUGUGCGAAAGCACGAUGAGGGGAUCCCAAGUGCUGGCACGUAAGUGUCAGCUGUUUCUUAGUCUAAAAAACUGAGAGAGUAAGGGCUGGGUGAGACGGGUGCCAGCCGCCGCGGUAAUACCUGCAGCUCAAGUGGUGGCCGCUAUUAUUGGGCCUAAAACGUCCGUAGCCUGUUUAGUAAAUGCUUGGGUAAAUUGUGUAGCUUAACUAUACGAAUACCGGGUAGACUGCUAAACUUGGGACCGGGAGAGGCUAGAGGUACUCCUGGGGUAGAGGUGAAAUUCUGUAAUCCUAGGGGGACCACCAGUGGCGAAGGCGUCUAGCUAGAACGGGUCUGACGGUGAGGGACGAAGCCCUGGGGCGCAAACCGGAUUAGAUACCCGGGUAGUCC
Molecule: ribosomal RNA, 416 nt
Filed under: uncultured euryarchaeote
Lineage: Archaea; Methanobacteriati; Methanobacteriota
Description: bacterial SSU rRNA
Rfam family: Archaeal small subunit ribosomal RNA
Source: RNAcentral